CCUACGGGGUGCAGCAGUGGGGGAUAUUGCACAAUGGGGGAAACCCUGAUGCAGCGACGCCGCGUGGGUGAAGAAGCGCCUCGGCGCGUAAAGCCCUGUCAGCAGGGAAGAAAAUGACGGUACCUGAAGAAGAAGCCCCGGCUAACUACGUGCCAGCAGCCGCGGUAAUACGUAGGGGGCAAGCGUUAUCCGGAUUUACUGGGUGUAAAGGGGGCGCAGACGGCGAUGCAAGCCAGGAGUGAAAGCCCGGGGCCCAACCCCGGGGCUGCUCUUGGAACUGCGUGGCUAGAGUGCAGGAGGGGCAGGCGGAAUGCCUGGUGUAGCGGUGAAAUGCGUAGAUAUCAGGAGGAACACCGGUGGCGAAGGCGGCCUGCUGGACUGCAACUGACGUUGAGGCCCGAAAGCGUGGGGAGCAAACAGGAUUAGAUACCCGGGUAGUC
This 440-nucleotide ribosomal RNA is filed under the name uncultured bacterium. RNAcentral describes it as "partial 16S ribosomal RNA". It matches the Rfam family "Bacterial small subunit ribosomal RNA", at positions 338 to 795 of the family's 1533-position model. The record is from RNAcentral.